Long non-coding RNA from Chenopodium quinoa (quinoa), 1038 nucleotides. RefSeq lists it as uncharacterized. NCBI's taxonomy places the organism in Eukaryota, Viridiplantae, Streptophyta, Magnoliopsida, Caryophyllales, Amaranthaceae. The transcript has 2 exons. The record is from RefSeq and is a predicted model, not a curated record.
UUGGUCCACUUGUCAAACGGCGCUUGGUGGAUAAAAAUCCCCUAAUCACUAAUAAUGCUGCAUCAAAAACAAAUGCAAAUACAGCAACCAACCUUCAAAUAUGUUCCUCUGGUUCAGCACGUGCUGAACAUUUGUCCACAACCUAUUGUGCAAAUGCAGGUUCUUCUUGGAACCAGCAAGAAGCGAGAGGUUUGAUGAUUUCAGACAUACACAAAGCGGAUUCACAUUCUAGUGGCAGCAAUAAUGCUCACGGUCUUUCAUCAACAUACCUAUCAUUUUCUGGUGCAAAUGAAGACAGAAACAACUAUGGUCAGGGAGGAAUGAAGGUGAAUGGGGCUGUUUCUGUUAAGUAGGAUCCACUUUAUGCUUGAAGGGACGGCUGCCUCCUUAUUGUCUGGUAAUGCAAGCAUAAUUGGGCCGAUUCAAUCACGGAGAACAGUCUAGUAACCCUUCAAGUAUGUGGAGUCCCAGGCAACUCAUUCUUGGCUUUGGUUUAUGUGGUUUACCCGGGUCGGGAUGGAGGAGGAAAUACAGGGUAGUAGGACUAUGUAGAAUUAUAAAGGAUUGGCUUUCAAAUUAUGCGUGGAUCUCUUGUUUAAACUAUGAAGGAUUCGAUGUGGAUAAUGCCUCUCUUGUAGGCUUUCUGGAUGUGUUACUUUGUUGGAGUUAGUAUAGUACUGUGUUUAUAGUUAAAUGGAGCAUGGACAAGGAAGAUAAUCACGGUCUAGGAGGUGUUUUAAAAAGUUUUUAGUGAUCAUAUUCAUGUUAGUGAUCCUCCCUAUUUCUUGGUCAUUUAUUUAUGAAUUUUAGUGGUGUAUAUUUCGACUGACUUGGUCCAUAUUUCACUGAAACUCAACAAAGGAGGAAUUUCACAACGCAAAAUGUACAGAAUUAUUGAAAGGUAAAGUUGUAAAAUCAAAGUAAUUUCUUAAGAUAGACAUUGAGAUUUCCGUUUGUUGGAUUUCUAAGGAUUUGCUCUUUUCAUGUAUCUCAACUUGUAUGAUUUUAUUGGUCAAUAAAAUUUAGUAGUUUCAGUAA